GAAUGAAGAAAGCAUGAUAAUAUGCAUAUAUAGUUGAUUUUGGUCUUUAGGCAUAUCCUCUUUGAUGCCUUUCGGCUUUGAUUUGUAGGCUAUGGUUCUACAGCAAAAUG
Small nucleolar RNA from Rhododendron vialii, 110 nucleotides. RefSeq annotates it as small nucleolar RNA snoR100. The record is from RefSeq and is a predicted model, not a curated record. Lineage: Eukaryota; Viridiplantae; Streptophyta; Magnoliopsida; Ericales; Ericaceae. The transcript has a single exon.